GGAAUAUUGCACAAUGGGCGAAAGCCUGAUGCAGCGACGCCGCGUGAGUGAAGAAGUAUUUCGGUAUGUAAAGCUCUAUCAGCAGGGAAGAAAAUGACGGUACCUGACUAAGAAGCCCCGGCUAAACACGUGCCAGCAGCCGCGGUAAUUCGUAGGGGGCAAGCGUUAGCCGGAUUUAAUGGGUGUAAAGGGAGCGUAGACGGCGAAGCAAGUCUGAAGUGAAAACCCAGGGCUCAACCCUGGGACUGCUUGGGAAACUGUUUUGCUAGAGUGUCGGAGAGGUAAGUGGAAUUCCUAGUGUAGCGGUGAAAUGCGUAGAUAUUAGGAGGAACACCAGUGGCGAAGGCGGCUUACUGGACGAUAACUGACGUUGAGGCUCGAAAGCGUGGGGAGCAAACA
This 399-nucleotide ribosomal RNA is filed under the name uncultured bacterium. Its description in RNAcentral is "bacterial SSU rRNA". It matches the Rfam family "Bacterial small subunit ribosomal RNA", at positions 358 to 774 of the family's 1533-position model. The record is from RNAcentral.